This 164-nucleotide ribosomal RNA is filed under the name Vicia cassia. RNAcentral's name for it is "5.8S ribosomal RNA". The stretch from base 1 to 139 matches the Rfam family "5.8S ribosomal RNA", at positions 18 to 154 of the family's 154-position model. Rfam says of the family: 5.8S ribosomal RNA (5.8S rRNA) is a component of the large subunit of the eukaryotic ribosome. It is transcribed by RNA polymerase I as part of the 45S precursor that also contains 18S and 28S rRNA. Functionally, it is thought that 5.8S rRNA may be involved in ribosome translocation. The record is from RNAcentral. Lineage: Eukaryota; Viridiplantae; Streptophyta; Magnoliopsida; Fabales; Fabaceae.
AUCUAGGCUCUUGCAUCGAUGAAGAACGUAGCGAAAUGCGAUACUUGGUGUGAAUUGCAGAAUCCCGUGAACCAUCGAGUCUUUGAACGCAAGUUGCGCCCGAUGCCAUUAGGUUGAGGGCACGUCUGCCUGGGUGUCACAUAUCGUAGCUUCCUGCCAAUUUC